RNAcentral lists this ribosomal RNA (484 nucleotides) under uncultured bacterium. RNAcentral's name for it is "partial 16S ribosomal RNA". It matches the Rfam family "Bacterial small subunit ribosomal RNA", at positions 30 to 507 of the family's 1533-position model. The record is from RNAcentral.
AUUGAACGCUGGCGGCAGGCCUAACACAUGCAAGUCGAGCGGAUGAAGGGAGCUUGCUCCUGGAUUCAGCGGCGGACGGGUGAGUAAUGCCUAGGAAUCUGCCUGGUAGUGGGGGCUAACGUCCGGAAACGGGCGCUAAUACCGCAUACGUCCUGAGGGAGAAAGUGGGGGAUCUUUGGACAUCACGCUAUCAGAUGAGCCUAGGACGGAUUAGCUAGUUGGUGGGGUAAAGGCCUACCAAGGCGACGAUCCGUAACUGGUCUGAGAGGAUGAUCAGUCACACUGGAACUGAGACACGGUCCAGACUCCUACGGGAGGCAGCAGUGGGGAAUAUUGGACAAUGGGCGAAAGCCUGAUCCAGCCAUGCCGCGUGUGUGAAGAAGGUCUUCGGAUUGUAAAGCACUUUAAGUUGGGAGGAAGGGCAGUAAGUUAAUACCUUGCUGUUUUGACGUUACCAACAGAAUAAGCACCGGCUAACUUCGUG